Molecule: long non-coding RNA, 510 nt
Filed under: Pan paniscus (pygmy chimpanzee)
Lineage: Eukaryota; Metazoa; Chordata; Mammalia; Primates; Hominidae
Description: lncRNA (ENSPPAG00000045489.1)
Source: RNAcentral
UGACCUCAAGGUCCUUCUUUCAGGGAUCUUGCCAGGAAGUUCAGUUGGCAGGAUGGCAGCAGCAGACACACAGGGUGGUUAAGAACAACAAACACAGGCAAACCACUUCAAUAGAACAUGGCUGGCGGCCAUAUGGACAUAUAUGAAUCCAACAAUUAAUUCAGCAAAGAAAGCUGCUUGUGGCAAGUUUUGAAUGUGCCAUUCCAGGUAGUGCUUUGAUGAUAAAUGAGGAGAAGAUUGCAAAGAAAAUGACAGCAACAUUUAUAAAAGGAUUCCUCUUAGGACUCCGGAUGCACAGAGAGUGGCCAGAUUAAUACAGACUGGCAAAAGAAGAACUUGGCAAAGUGAUUUGAUCACACACUUCUCACCCUCACAUCUCCUGACAGUUCCCCUAAUCCCUGCCCCACUUCCCCGCCAUGGGCUUCCAUCAGGAAACUCCUUGAUAUCAUCUUCGGUAUGUACCUCAUAAAGUUAAGAAAUGGAAUAUUAAUAACAACUUUUAACAUAAUC